This 497-nucleotide ribosomal RNA is filed under the name uncultured bacterium. RNAcentral describes it as "partial 16S ribosomal RNA". It matches the Rfam family "Bacterial small subunit ribosomal RNA", at positions 28 to 507 of the family's 1533-position model. The record is from RNAcentral.
GAUGAACGCUGGCGGCGUGCCUAAUACAUGCAAGUCGAGCGAACAGAUAAGGAUCUUGCUCCUUUGACGUUAGCGGCGGACGGGUGAGUAACACGUGGGUAACCUACCUAUAAGACUGGGAUAACUUCGGGAAACCGGAGCUAAUACCGGAUAAUAUUUCGAACCGCAUGGUUCGAUAGUGAAAGAUGGUUUUGCUAUCACUUAUAGAUGGACCCGCGCCGUAUUAGCUAGUUGGUAAGGUAACGGCUUACCAAGGCGACGAUACGUAGCCGACCUGAGAGGGUGAUCGGCCACACUGGAACUGAGACACGGUCCAGACUCCUACGGGAGGCAGCAGUAGGGAAUCUUCCGCAAUGGGCGAAAGCCUGACGGAGCAACGCCGCGUGAGUGAUGAAGGUCUUCGGAUCGUAAAACUCUGUUAUUAGGGAAGAACAUACGUGUAAGUAACUGUGCACGUCUUGGCGGUACCUAAUCAGAAAGCCACGGCUAACUACGUG